Molecule: non-coding RNA, 898 nt
Organism: Ictidomys tridecemlineatus (thirteen-lined ground squirrel)
Lineage: Eukaryota; Metazoa; Chordata; Mammalia; Rodentia; Sciuridae
Source: RefSeq, a predicted model, not a curated record
GGGAUUGGGGAGGGGGAGUGGCCUCUGCUUCCCGAGGGGAGGUAGUGGGGGAUAGGACAGGAAAUGUCAGCUGGGGUUUAGAUGAUGUAGCAAACUAACUUUUCUAUAGAAUGUUCCAGAAGACUUCUGAGGUUCCCUGAGGUGCAGAGUGCCAGCCUGGCCUCAGUGAGGGCCUGCACCCCUGCUCUUGAAGGGGAGCCAUGAGCACUGCUGAGGUGGCCAGCUGCAGUGGCCCCUUCAGCGUGGGACUGGGGUGGCAAGGGUUCGCUGCACAAGGUCUGGAAAGUUCUAGGGGAACACGACACGGGGCAGAUUCUGGAGGACCGUCUCCUGAAUGAAGCCGCCACUCAGCUACUCUGGUCUACAGUGGCGUCUCCCAGAGGCUGCGUGACGCCAGCAGACACAAGAAUCCAGUUGUCUCCAAUUAAAUGAUGAAAGAUUCAUGAAAAUGUAAAAUGACAUUUCUCCUGACUACAGUCACUUUGUUUUGGGGAAUACGUAACUCCUCGUCAUGAAGACACGGCAUGUCAGGCAGUAAGCUGGUCAUCGCCACUCACUCAAUUCUGUCAUGGUUACUUAAUGGUGCGGGGAUGGGACCCAGGGCCUCCUGCGUGCGGGCCACUGUUCUACUGCCCAGCGGCCUCCCUGGCGCUUUUCAUGUUUUACUUUGGGACAGAGUCUCACUGAGUUGCCCAGGCUGGCCUCAAACUUGUGACCCUCCUGCCUCAGCCUCCCAGAUAGCUGGAUUACAGGCGAGCGCCACCGUGCUUUACUGCUAUUACUGUUUAUAAGCAAAUAAGUAAAUAUGGGUAAUAGGAGCAAAUGUGUAAAUGUUAGAACAUUCUUCUCGUUUGUAAUCGCUAACACAGUGAAUGUGAUAAAGACAGCUGAUAGACGA